Athalia rosae (coleseed sawfly) is the source of this 433-nucleotide long non-coding RNA. RefSeq lists it as uncharacterized. The transcript is spliced from 3 exons. The record is from RefSeq and is a predicted model, not a curated record. Lineage: Eukaryota; Metazoa; Arthropoda; Insecta; Hymenoptera; Athaliidae.
GGGGGAGGAAAAGGGGGUGAGAAAGGAGGGUGCGCAAAGGGUGCCGGGACAGGAGCGUCGGCUCGUCUAUGACGUCAAACUAGUUUCUGCAGCGAGCGACGCGCGGAGAGAACCCGGAAAUACCGCGUCCCCGUAGUGGGAGUCGAUAGCGGAGGACCCGCACCCACCCACCCCCCCCUCGAGGCCGAGGUUCAUGCGAUUGGAAAACUUGCCGAACGAAGUGGACGCGAAGGGAGAAUAAAACUAUGACUACGGGGGCGGAGAGGCGAAAAGGGAUGUGCAGCGGGUAGACGAAGGCAGCAGCAGCAGCAGCAGCAGCAGCAGCAGGUGCGCGAGGCUCUGCAGGUAGAUAGAUGAUCGAGAAUCCCCCGAGACACUCCACGCUUGUACACCGAUGACGUAAGGGAUAGAAAAAAAAACCAAUCAACAAAAU